CCCUUAGAUGUUCGGGGCCGCACGCGCGCUACACUGAAGGAAUCAGCACGUCUUUCUCCUUGUCCGAAAGGACUGGGUAACCCGCUGAACCUCCUUCGUGCUAGGGAUUGGGGCUUGUAAUUCUUCCCCAUGAACGAGGAAUUCCCAGUAAGCGCGAGUCAUAAGCUCGCGUUGAUUACGUCCCUGCCCUUUGUACACACCGCCCGUCGCUACUACCGAUUGGAUGGUUUAGUGAGAUCCUCGGAUUGGUCCCGGCGCGGCCUCUGGUCGUGCCAGAGUGCCGAAAAGAAUGUCGAACUUGAUCAUCUAGAGGAAGUAAAAGUCGUAACA
This 330-nucleotide ribosomal RNA is filed under the name uncultured eukaryote. RNAcentral's name for it is "partial 18S ribosomal RNA". It matches the Rfam family "Eukaryotic small subunit ribosomal RNA", at positions 1470 to 1796 of the family's 1831-position model. The record is from RNAcentral.